Long non-coding RNA from Lepus europaeus (European hare), 795 nucleotides. RefSeq lists it as uncharacterized. The record is from RefSeq and is a predicted model, not a curated record. The transcript has 4 exons. Lineage: Eukaryota; Metazoa; Chordata; Mammalia; Lagomorpha; Leporidae.
GCCGGGCGCAAAGCCCCAGGGCGGGGAAGGCGCCAGGCCCAGCGAGGCUGGCACAGUUGAGGGCGCCCCUGGGGCUUGCAAGGAAGGGCAAGGUCAUUGGCAGAGGUGGGGUGCUAGCCACGCAGCCAUGCCUCGGUGAUGCUCCCGGGAGACAGACUGGAGGGGACAGAGUAAGGUCCCCUAGGGCGAGGAGGAGGACGAGCUCACCGCUCUGUGGGUGGCACUUCCUCUGUGCUGACUGCGGCACUGGUCACUUACAGGAGGAAACACGCAAUGGCUUAACCAAGUUGUGGUCCUGGAAGAAGCUUCCAGGCCGGACCACGUAGAAGAGAGAAGGAGCCGCGGUUCCCUCUGGCUCGCACGGUUGGGACCAGGAGGUUGGGAGCACAGACCUCGUGUCUUCCUUUUGCCGCGAGAUGUCUCCCGACACGUGUGGCAGCAGACAGAACCACGUAGGCACCCUGGAGCCCCGCAGAGCUGCAGCACCGCCACUCGUGGCCACCUGGCCAUAUCUCUGCUCCUGCCCUGCCCUGGACUCACAGCCAGGGCCACACCUGGGAAGGCUUCCUGAAGGAGGUGACUUGGAGCAGGGAGCAGCAGAAGCCCUUGCCCGCAGCUGGCUCUCAGGACUCCAACAUGCACCAGGCAUGUUCCUGGAGGGGCUUGGGGGCGAUGAUAAGGUGAUACCCCCGGCCACCCCACACAGGACCAGGAAGCACCGGAUACACUUGGGAGUGCUUCCUUGAAGGCGGGGGAUGCAUCUGGGCGAUCCUUGCAUAAAUACGGUUCUCAUGC